CAGUCGCCGCGGUAAUACGUAGGUGGCAAGCGUUGUCCGGAAUUAUUGGGCGUAAAGGGUGCGUAGGCGGUUCCGCAAGUCUUGUGUGAAAUCUAUGGGCUCAACCCAUAGUCUGCAUAGGAAACUGCGAGGCUUGAGGAUGGGAGAGGUGAGUGGAAUUUCCGGUGUAGCGGUGAAAUGCGUUGAUAUCGAACGGAACACCUGUGGCGAAAGCGGCUCACUGGACCAUUUCUGACGCUGAUGCACGAAAGCUAGGGGAGCAAACAGGAUUAGAUACCCCAGUAGUCCCUGUCUCUUAUAC
This 301-nucleotide ribosomal RNA is filed under the name uncultured bacterium. RNAcentral's name for it is "partial 16S ribosomal RNA". It matches the Rfam family "Bacterial small subunit ribosomal RNA", at positions 509 to 807 of the family's 1533-position model. The record is from RNAcentral.